RNAcentral lists this ribosomal RNA (691 nucleotides) under uncultured Bacteroidales bacterium. Its description in RNAcentral is "bacterial SSU rRNA". It matches the Rfam family "Bacterial small subunit ribosomal RNA", at positions 68 to 746 of the family's 1533-position model. Lineage: Bacteria; Pseudomonadati; Bacteroidota; Bacteroidia; Bacteroidales. The record is from RNAcentral.
GGCAGCAUGGUCUUAGCUUGCUAAGGCUGAUGGCGACCGGCGCACGGGUGAGUAACACGUAUCCAACCUGCCGUCUACUCUUGGCCAGCCUUCUGAAAGGAAGAUUAAUCCAGGAUGGCAUCAUGAGUUCACAUGUCCGCAUGAUUAAAGGUAUUUUCCGGUAGACGAUGGGGAUGCGUUCCAUUAGAUAGUAGGCGGGGUAACGGCCCACCUAGUCAGCGAUGGAUAGGGGUUCUGAGAGGAAGGUCCCCCACAUUGGAACUGAGACACGGUCCAAACUCCUACGGGAGGCAGCAGUGAGGAAUAUUGGUCAAUGGGCGAUGGCCUGAACCAGCCAAGUAGCGUGAAGGAUGACUGCCCUAUGGGUUGUAAACUUCUUUUAUAAAGGAAUAAAGUCGGGUAUGCAUACCCGUUUGCAUGUACUUUAUGAAUAAGGAUCGGCUAACUCCGUGCCAGCAGCCGCGGUAAUACGGAGGAUCCGAGCGUUAUCCGGAUUUAUUGGGUUUAAAGGGAGCGUAGAUGGAUGUUUAGGUCAGUUGUGAAAGUUUGCGGCUCAACCGUAAAAUUGCAGUUGAUACUGGAUGUCUUGAGUGCAGUUGAGGCAGGCGGAAUUCGUGGUGUAGCGGUGAAAUGCUUAGAUAUCACGAAGAACUCCGAUUGCGAAGUCAGCCUGCUAAGCUGCAACUGACAU